RNAcentral lists this ribosomal RNA (232 nucleotides) under uncultured bacterium. Its description in RNAcentral is "partial 16S ribosomal RNA". It matches the Rfam family "Bacterial small subunit ribosomal RNA", at positions 122 to 354 of the family's 1533-position model. The record is from RNAcentral.
UAACCUGCCUCAUACAGGGGGAUAACAGUUAGAAAUGACUGCUAAUACCGCAUAAGCGCACAGAGAUGCAUGUCUCGGUGUGAAAAGCUGAGGCGGUAUGAGAUGGAUCCGCGUCUGAUUAGCUGGUUGGCGGGGUAGAGGCCCACCAAGGCGACGAUCAGUAGCCGACCUGAGAGGGUGGCCGGCCACAUUGGGACUGAGACACGGCCCAAACUCCUACGGAAGGCAGCAG